GGGCGGCCUACACAUGCAGUCGAGCGGCAGCGGGAAGAUAGCUUGCUAUCUUUGCCGGCGAGCGGCGGACGGGUGAGUAAUGCCUAGGGAUCUGCCCAGUCGAGGGGGAUAACAGUUGGAAACGACUGCUAAUACCGCAUACGCCCUACGGGGGAAAGGAGGGGACCUUCGGGCCUUCCGCGAUUGGAUGAACCUAGGUGGGAUUAGCUAGUUGGUGAGGUAAUGGCUCACCAAGGCGACGAUCCCUAGCUGUUCUGAGAGGAUGAUCAGCCACACUGGGACUGAGACACGGCCCAGACUCCUACGGGAGGCAGCAGUGGGGAAUAUUGCACAAUGGGGGAAACCCUGAUGCAGCCAUGCCGCGUGUGUGAAGAAGGCCUUCGGGUUGUAAAGCACUUUCAGUAGGGAGGAAAGGUAAUAGUUUAAUACGCUAUUACUGUGACGUUACCUACAGAAGAAGGACCGGCUAACUCCGUGCCAGCAGCCGCGGUAAUACGGAGGGUCCGAGCGUUAAUCGGAAUUACUGGGCGUAAAGCGUGCGCAGGCGGUUUGUUAAGCGAGAUGUGAAAGCCCCGGGCUCAACCUGGGAAUUGCAUUUCGAACUGGCGAACUAGAGUCUUGUAGAGGGGGGUAGAAUUCCAGGUGUAGCGGUGAAAUGCGUAGAGAUCUGGAGGAAUACCGGUGGCGAAGGCGGCCCCCUGGACAAAGACUGACGCUCAGGCACGAAAGCGUGGGGAGCAAACAGGAUUA
This 750-nucleotide ribosomal RNA is filed under the name Shewanella baltica. RNAcentral describes it as "bacterial SSU rRNA". It matches the Rfam family "Bacterial small subunit ribosomal RNA", at positions 41 to 780 of the family's 1533-position model. Lineage: Bacteria; Pseudomonadati; Pseudomonadota; Gammaproteobacteria; Alteromonadales; Shewanellaceae. The record is from RNAcentral.